CUUUUGUGAUUCUUAGAUGCUUCAGAUCCUGCUCCAAGGGAUGUGGGCCCCUGAAACUGGUUGAGUUAAUCUUAGCAAGUUAAGUGUUGUGAUGUCACCUCAGGAAUGCAAUUAAGGCUCAGUCCUGCUCCUGAAGGACCUGUGAAGCAUCACAACACUGGCUGCCAUAAUUGGAGGCAUUGAGGAUGGGUGGGAUGUGGGGCUUGGUGGUGGGUUCGCGGCUCACACAGGUGCCUCCUGCCUGAGCGUUGGGGAAUCUCUGGGAUCAACUACAGGCUGGAUCUGUGGAUUUGGAUACUCACCCCAACAGUGACAGGUCAGUGCCUCUUCCAAGAGAAUUGUGGGGGUGAGGGUUUGUGUUGGAUCUGUGCAGGUUCUAAAAAGCAGAGGUGGGGACAGUUUACCUGUUUGGAGAACACGUACAGUGUGGAUGGGCAUCCCAACAGCACAAUCGUGGCCCAAGGCGGGUGUAGGACUGGAACUGAAAGCAUGCCUUUGGGCUUGUUCCCAAAGACAUGGGUUUGAACGAAGCUCCAAGUGGAUCAUUGUGUGAUCUUGGGGAAAUUACUUAUCCUCUCUGGGUUUCAUUUCCCCCUUAGGAAACUGGGGGUAAAUAUGCUUGCUUUCUAUGGCCCACGUGAGGGUUACGUGGGAUACGGGAUAAUUUGUAUAAAGUGCUUACCUGGUGCCUGGCUGGCUCCAUGAGCGGUGGAAGCAGCAGUUGUCCUGAUUCCUAUCUGUAGAGUCCAGGGAGCACUGCUGAUCUGACAGGGUGAUCUUGUCUCAUCUCCAGAGGAAGUGGGGAGUGGGAGGUCACAGGCAUCAGAGCACCAGAGAGGAGCUGCACAGAGGCUCUGGGAGGGCCAUGGGAAUGUGAGGGCUGAAGGGAUGGUGCUGAUGGCAUGGGGACUCCCUCUGGAGAGGGUGGCACAGUGUGGUGGCAGCAGGAAGAGAGGUGGGAUCCAUGCCCGGGGGAAGGAUAGCAGGGACUGCGGUGGCCCCCCUAACCAGGGUGGGAGUAGGGUGGGGUGGGGUUAGGAAACAUUACUU
Molecule: long non-coding RNA, 1050 nt
Filed under: Homo sapiens (human)
Lineage: Eukaryota; Metazoa; Chordata; Mammalia; Primates; Hominidae
Description: HSALNT0015398
Source: RNAcentral